This 777-nucleotide ribosomal RNA is filed under the name uncultured Neocallimastigales. Its description in RNAcentral is "partial large subunit ribosomal RNA". It matches the Rfam family "Eukaryotic large subunit ribosomal RNA", at positions 24 to 656 of the family's 3401-position model. Lineage: Eukaryota; Fungi; Neocallimastigomycota; Neocallimastigomycetes; Neocallimastigales. The record is from RNAcentral.
UUAUGUGAUCGUCUCUCGCAUAUCAAUAAGCGGAGGAAAAGAAACUAACAAGGAUUCCCCUAGUAACGGCGAGUGAAGCGGGAAGAGCUCAAAUUUGAAAUCUUAAAGGGUUUCCCUUUACGAAUUGUAGUUUAAAGAAGUGUUUUCUGUUGAGGUUUUGGUAAAAGUUCUUUGGAAUAGGACAUCAUAGAGGGUGAGAAUCCCGUAUUUGACCUUUACUUUCAACUUUGUGAUACACUUUCAAAGAGUCGGAUUGUUUGGGAAUGCAGUCCUAAAAUGGGUGGUAAAUUUCAUCUAAAGCUAAAUAUUGGCGAGAGACCGAUAGCGAACAAGUACCGUGAGGGAAAGAUGAAAAGAACUUUGAAAAGAGAGUUAAACAGUACGUGAAAUUGUCAAAAGGGAAGCGUUUGACACCAGUGUUGUUUUUCUGAAAAUCAAUUAAAGAACUGUUUAUGCUAAGUUGUUUAGACUUUAUCAGCUAAUCUGCUUAGUUUUGAGCUUUUCUUUAGUGCACUUUUCAGUUAACAAGUCAACAUCAAUUUCUUUUGCUGUAAAAAAGCUUGAGGAAGGUGGCUUGAGAUUCGUCUUAAGUGUUUAUAGCCUCUUGCCUAUGCAGUCGGAGAGAUUGAGGUCUGCAGCGUAGAUCCUUCGGGGCUAAAUGCAUUUGUGCUAAGUUAUAGCAUUUUAUAGACAACUUGUUGACUAUGAUUUGUCUUGUAGCUUACUCGCUUAUGUUAUUUUACCUACGCUUAGGAUGUUGACACACGCGCGUGCUCG